Molecule: ribosomal RNA, 447 nt
Filed under: uncultured bacterium
Lineage: Bacteria
Description: bacterial SSU rRNA
Rfam family: Bacterial small subunit ribosomal RNA
Source: RNAcentral
GUGAGUAACGCGUGGGCAACCUGCCUCAUACAGGGGGAUAACAGUUAGAAAUGACUGCUAAUACCGCAUAAGACCGCGGUGCCGCAUGGCACAGCGGUAAAAACUCCGGUGGUAUGAGAUGGGCCCGCGUCUGAUUAGCUAGUUGGCGGGGUAACGGCCCACCAAGGCGACGAUCAGUAGCCGACCUGAGAGGGCGACCGGCCACAUUGGGACUGAUACACGGCCCAAACUCCUACGGGAGGCAGCAGUGGGGAAUAUUGCACAAUGGGGGAAACCCCUGAUGCAGCGACGCCGCGUGAGCGAUGAAGUAUUUCGGUAUGUAAAGCUCUAUCAGCAGGGAAGAAGAUGACGGUACCUGACUAAAAAGCCCCGGCUAACUACGUGCCAGCAGCCGCGGUAAUACGUAGGGGGCAAGCGUUAUCCGGAUUUACCGGGUGUAAAGGGAGC